RNAcentral lists this ribosomal RNA (596 nucleotides) under uncultured bacterium. RNAcentral describes it as "bacterial SSU rRNA". It matches the Rfam family "Bacterial small subunit ribosomal RNA", at positions 112 to 704 of the family's 1533-position model. The record is from RNAcentral.
AAUACAUCGGAAUCUGCCUUAUCGUGGGGGAUAACGUAGGGAAACUUACGCUAAUACCGCAUACGACCUACGGGUGAAAGCGGAGGACCUUCGGGCUUCGCGCGAUAAGAUGAGCCGAUGUCGGAUUAGCUAGUUGGCGGGGUAAAGGCCCACCAAGGCGACGAUCCGUAGCUGGUCUGAGAGGAUGAUCAGCCACACUGGAACUGAGACACGGUCCAGACUCCUACGGGAGGCAGCAGUGGGGAAUAUUGGACAAUGGGCGCAAGCCUGAUCCAGCCAUGCCGCGUGGGUGAAGAAGGCCUUCGGGUUGUAAAGCCCUUUUGUCCGGAAAGAAAAGCAUCGGGUUAAUACCUCGGUGUUCUGACGGUACCGGAAGAAUAAGCACCGGCUAACUUCGUGCCAGCAGCCGCGGUAAUACGAAGGGUGCAAGCGUUACUCGGAAUUACUGGGCGUAAAGCGUGCGUAGGUGGUUCGUUAAGUCUGAUGUGAAAGCCCUGGGCUCAACCUGGGAAUUGCAUUGGAUACUGGCGGGCUAGAGUGCGGUAGAGGAUGGCGGAAUUCCCGGUGUAGCAGUGAAAUGCGUAGAGAUCGGGAGG